This 253-nucleotide ribosomal RNA is filed under the name uncultured bacterium. RNAcentral describes it as "partial 16S ribosomal RNA". It matches the Rfam family "Bacterial small subunit ribosomal RNA", at positions 524 to 776 of the family's 1533-position model. The record is from RNAcentral.
GACGAACCACACAAACGUUAUUCGGAAUUACUGGGCUUAAAGGGUGCGUAGGCGGCGCGGCAAGUUGGGUGUGAAAUCCCUCGGCUCAACCGAGGAACUGCGCUCAAUACUACCGUGCUCGAGGGAGACAGAGGUGAGCGGAACUUAGGGUGGAGCGGUGAAAUGCGUUGAUAUCCUAAGGAACACCCGUGGCGAAAGCGGCUCACUGGGUCUCUUCUGACGCUGAGGCACGAAAGCUAGGGUAGCGAACGGG